Molecule: ribosomal RNA, 605 nt
Filed under: uncultured bacterium
Lineage: Bacteria
Description: bacterial SSU rRNA
Rfam family: Bacterial small subunit ribosomal RNA
Source: RNAcentral
AAAGAAAGAUUAAUACCUGAUAGUAUGGUGAGAUUGCAUGAUAACACCAUUAAAGAUUUAUUGGUAAACGAUGGGGAUGCGUUCCAUUAGGUAGUAGGCGGGGUAACGGCCCACCUAACCUGCGAUGGAUAGGGGUUCUGAGAGGAAGAUCCCCCACAUUGGAACUGAGACACGGUCCAAACUCCUACGGGAGGCAGCAGUGAGGAAUAUUGGUCAAUGGGCGAGAGCCUGAACCAGCCAAGUAGCGUGAAGGAUGGAGGUCCUACGGAUUGUAAACUUCUUUUAUACGGGAAUAAAGUAUCCAACGUGUAGGAUUUUGUAUGUACCGUAUGAAUAAGCAUCGGCUAACUCCGUGCCAGCAGCCGCGGUAAUACGGAGGAUGCGAGCGUUAUCCGGAUUUAUUGGGUUUAAAGGGAGCGCAGACGGGAGAUUAAGUCAGUUGUGAAAGUUUGCGGCUCAACCGUAAAAUUGCAGUUGAUACUGGUUUCCUUGAGUGCAGUUGAGGCAGGCGGAAUUCGUGGUGUAGCGGUGAAAUGCUUAGAUAUCACGAAGAACCCCGAUUGCGAAGGCAGCUUGCUAAACUGUAACUGACGUUCAUGCUAGAA